Molecule: ribosomal RNA, 507 nt
Filed under: uncultured bacterium
Lineage: Bacteria
Description: bacterial SSU rRNA
Rfam family: Bacterial small subunit ribosomal RNA
Source: RNAcentral
UAGUCUACGCCGUAAACGAUGGAUACUAGUUGUUCGGACUUCGGUUUGAGUGACUAAGCGAAAGUGAUAAGUAUCCCACCUGGGGAGUACGUUCGCAAGAAUGAAACUCAAAGGAAUUGACGGGGGCCCGCACAAGCGGUGGAGCAUGUGGUUUAAUUCGAUGAUACGCGAGGAACCUUACCAGGGCUUAAAUGUAGUCUGACAGCUUUAGAGAUAGAGUUUUCUUCGGACAGAUUACAAGGUGCUGCAUGGUUGUCGUCAGCUCGUGCCGUGAGGUGUCAGGUUAAGUCCUAUAACGAGCGCAACCCCUGUUGUUAGUUGCCAGCACGUAAUGGUGGGAACUCUAACAAGACUGCCGGUGCAAACCGCGAGGAAGGUGGGGAUGACGUCAAAUCAUCACGGCCCUUACGUCCUGGGCCACACACGUGCUACAAUGGUAGGUACAGAGAGCAGCCACUACGCGAGUAGGAGCGAAUCUAUAAAACCUAUCUCAGUUCGGAUCGGAGU